RNAcentral lists this ribosomal RNA (253 nucleotides) under uncultured bacterium. Its description in RNAcentral is "partial 16S ribosomal RNA". It matches the Rfam family "Bacterial small subunit ribosomal RNA", at positions 524 to 776 of the family's 1533-position model. The record is from RNAcentral.
UACAGAGGUGGCAAGCGUUGUUCGGAUUCAUUGGGCGUAAAGGGUCCGUAGGCGGCUCAGAAAGUUGGAUGUGAAAUCCCAUGGCUUAACCAUGGAACUGCAUUCAAAACUUCUGGGCUAGAGGGUGAGAGGGGUAGAGGGAAUUCCCGGUGUAAGGGUGAAAUCUGCAGAGAUCGGGAAGAACACCAGUCGCGAAGGCGCUCUACUGGCUCAUUUCUGACGCUGAGGGACGAAAGCUAGGGGAGCAAACGGG